RNAcentral lists this transfer-messenger RNA (396 nucleotides) under Oscillospiraceae. Its description in RNAcentral is "Harryflintia sp022792175 Standard tmRNA". It matches the Rfam family "transfer-messenger RNA". From Rfam's summary of the family: Bacterial tmRNA, also known as 10Sa RNA or SsrA, is named for its dual tRNA and mRNA-like properties. The record is from RNAcentral. Lineage: Bacteria; Bacillati; Bacillota; Clostridia; Eubacteriales. RNAcentral also lists the same sequence under 2 other names.
GGGGGCGUACCGGUUUCGACGGGGAUUUUGAAGCACGGACAGCGAGUACAGGUGCGGAACCUGUUAAAAAGCCGCAAAAAAAAUAAACGCUAACAAUAACGUUAGAAAAGUAAACUUCAACAACAUGGCGGUCAUGGCUGCCUAGUUGAAGCUUGCUGUGUCGCUGGUACAGCGGCCCAUCCUGCCGGAUUUCACCGCGGGUUCGGUUUGGGUGUCAUUUUAGCGGUCAACGUUUCUUCGCUUUGCUUCGGGCGGGGAUAACGUAUUAGAAGCUACCGCCAUUCAUAGCCUGUUUAUCGGCGAUGGGCGGCGGGAAUUUUAAAGGAUAAACUGCACUCGGAGAGGUCUGUGUGAAUGGGUUUUCGGACAGGGGUUCAACUCCCCUCGCCUCCACCA